RNAcentral lists this transfer RNA (74 nucleotides) under Haemaphysalis longicornis (longhorned tick). RNAcentral's name for it is "tRNA-Met". Lineage: Eukaryota; Metazoa; Arthropoda; Arachnida; Ixodida; Ixodidae. The record is from RNAcentral.
AAUAAAGUAAAAGAUUUAAGUAUGCUAAAAAAGCUAGUGGGUUCAUACCCCAAAAAUGAUUAAUUCCUUUAUUA